This 2455-nucleotide ribosomal RNA is filed under the name metagenome. Its description in RNAcentral is "bacterial LSU rRNA". It matches the Rfam family "Bacterial large subunit ribosomal RNA", at positions 1 to 2502 of the family's 2925-position model. The record is from RNAcentral.
AAUCAACCGAGAUUCCCUUAGUAGCGGCGAGCGAAAGGGGAGCAGCCCUUAAGCUUAAUUGGUUUUAGUGGAACGCUCUGGAAAGUGCGGCGAUACAGGGUGAUAGCCCCGUACACGAAAAGGCNNNNNNNNNNNNNNNNNNNNNNNNNNNNNNNNNNNNNNNNNNNNNNNGAAGCGAACCCGGGGAACUGAAACAUCUAAGUACCCGGAGGAAAAGAAAUCAACCGAGAUUCCCUUAGUAGCGGCGAGCGAAAGGGGAGCAGCCCUUAAGCUUAAUUGGUUUUAGUGGAACGCUCUGGAAAGUGCGGCGAUACAGGGUGAUAGCCCCGUACACGAAAAGGCCUUUUAAGUGAAAUCGAGUAGGACGGGACACGUGAUAUCCUGUUUGAAUAUGGGGGGACCAUCCUCCAAGGCUAAAUACUCCCAACUGACCGAUAGUGAACCAGUACCGUGAGGGAAAGGCGAAAAGAACCCCUGUGAGGGGAGUGAAAUAGAUCCUGAAACCGUGUGCGUACAAGCAGUAGGAGCAGACUUGUUCUGUGACUGCGUACCUUUUGUAUAAUGGGUCAGCGACUUAUUGUCAGUGGCAAGGUUAACCGUAUAGGGGAGCCGUAGCGAAAGCGAGUCUUAAUAGGGCGUUCAGUCGCUGGCAAUAGACCCGAAACCCGGCGAUCUAUCCAUGGGCAGGUUGAAGGUUGGGUAACACUAACUGGAGGACCGAACCCACUAAUGUUGAAAAAUUAGGGGAUGACUUGUGGAUCGGAGUGAAAGGCUAAUCAAGCCGGGAGAUAGCUGGUUCUCCCCGAAAACUAUUUAGGUAGUGCGUCAUGUCUCACCCGCGGGGGUAGAGCACUGUUUGGGCUAGGGGGUCAUCCCGACUUACCAACCCCAUGCAAACUACGAAUACCGCGGAGUGCAAUCAUGGCAGACAGACAGCGGGUGCUAACGUCCGUUGUCAAGAGGGAAACAACCCAGACCGCCAGCUAAGGUCCCAAAUGCCAGUUAAGUGGGAAACGAUGUGGGAAGGCUUAGACAGCUAGGAGGUUGGCUUAGAAGCAGCCACCCUUUAAAGAAAGCGUAAUAGCUCACUAGUCGAGUCGGCCUGCGCGGAAGAUGUAACGGGGCUAAAACUGGCAACCGAAGCUGCGGAUGCACUUAGUGCAUGGUAGGGGAGCGUUCUGUAAGCCGUUGAAGGUGUGUUGAGAAGCAUGCUGGAGGUAUCAGAAGUGCGAAUGCUGACAUGAGUAACGAUAAGGGGAGUGAAAAACUCCCCCGCCGGAAGAUCAAGGUUUCCUGUCCAACGUUAAUCGGGACAGGGUUAGUCGGCCCCUAAGGCGAGGCGGAAACGCGUAGUCGAUGGGAAACAGGUUAAUAUUCCUGUACCACUUUUUACUGCGAUGGGGGGACGGAGAAGGCUAGAGCAGCACGGCGUUGGUUGUCCGUGUUUAAGGUCGUAGGCUGGUGUCUUAGGUAAAUCCGGGAUGCUAAGGCUGAGAACUGAUGACGAGUGUUCCUCGGAACAUGAAGUGCUUGAUGCCAUGCUUCCAAGAAAAGCCUCUAAGCUUCAGGUAAAAAGAGACCGUACUCCAAACCGACACAGGUGAUCAGGUAGAGAAUACCAAGGCGCUUGAGAGAACUCGGGUGAAGGAACUAGGCAAAAUGGCACCGUAACUUCGGGAGAAGGUGCACCGCUUUCGGUCAUGGGAUUUACUCCCGCAGCUGAGGGCGGUCGAAGAUACCAGGCCCCUGCAACUGUUUAUUAAAAACACAGCACUCUGCAAACACGUAAGUGGACGUAUAGGGUGUGACGCCUGCCCGGUGCCGGAAGGUUAAUUGAUGGGGUUAGCGCAAGCGAAGCUCUUGAUCGAAGCCCCGGUAAACGGCGGCCGUAACUAUAACGGUCCUAAGGUAGCGAAAUUCCUUGUCGGGUAAGUUCCGACCUGCACGAAUGGCGUAAUGAUGGGGGCGCUGUCUCCACCCGAGACUCAGUGAAAUUGAAAUCGCGGUUAAGAUGCCGUGUUCCCGCGGCUAGACGGAAAGACCCCGUGAACCUUUACUAUAGCUUUGCACUGAACUUUGAACCUAUCUGUGUAGGAUAGGUGGGAGGCUUUGAAGUUGGGACGCUAGUCCUGAUGGAGCCGUCCUUGAAAUACCACCCUGGUAUGUUUGAGGUUCUAACGUAGGCCCCUAAUCGGGGUUGCGGACAGUGUAUGGUGGGUAGUUUGACUGGGGCGGUCUCCUCCCAAAGAGUAACGGAGGAGCACGAAGGUGUGCUAAUCAUGGUCGGAAAUCAUGAGGUUAGUGUAAAGGCAAAAGCACGCUUGACUGCGAGACAGACAUGUCGAGCAGGUACGAAAGUAGGUCUUAGUGAUCCGGUGGUUCUGUAUGGAAGGGCCAUCGCUCAACGGAUAAAAGGUACUCCGGGGAUAACAGGCUGAUACCGCCCAAGAGUUCA